This is a long non-coding RNA of Pongo pygmaeus (Bornean orangutan), 1379 nucleotides long. RefSeq lists it as uncharacterized. NCBI's taxonomy places the organism in Eukaryota, Metazoa, Chordata, Mammalia, Primates, Hominidae. The record is from RefSeq and is a predicted model, not a curated record. The transcript has 5 exons.
AGAAUGACUCAGAAGAGAUAAGACUAGAGGCAGGGAUACUAGCUAAGAAGCUGUUGCAGCAAUGAAAGAAGAAAUGAUGAGAACCUAAACUAAGGCAAUACUAAUGGGAGCAAAGAGAAGUGAAGAGAUUUCACAGGUUUAUAAGAAAAAAGUGGUAGGACUUGAAAAUUAAUUGGAUGUAAAGACCAAAGCAAGCGGCAGUCAAGGAUGGCUCCUGGAUUUCUGGCUUGAGAGACUAGGUGGAUGAAAGAGCAGGUAGAGUGAGAAAGAUGAUGCUUUCAGUUUGGGAUAUGCCAAGUUUUGGGUCCCUUAUAGGUCUUUCAGGGAGAAAUGUCUAGCAGGGAUUUGGAUAGAAAUGUCGGGCACUCAGGAGAAAUAGAGAUGAGAACACCAAAGACAGAAUAUAUGGUUCUUCUAGAAGAUCCACUUUCAAUUUUACUAAAGUGAAUGACCCACUUUGAUGAAAAGAAUAAUGACUUCUAAGGUCUCUUACAACUCUAAUGUUACAAUUCUAUUGUUCAUCUGGAAUUGCCUUUUGAAGACAGCACAACUGUGGCCUUAAAGAUUCCUUGGUGAACAUGUGAAAUAUUUUUUAAUGAAAGUCCAUUACAUAUAAAGCCAUACAACCCCAAACAUGCAGUGAUAAUGCUUAUAGCAAAGAAAAACCAAGUAAAGACACUAUCUACAUUUACCUACUCUGAUCCCAAUUGGCUGCAAACAGCAAAAGAAUCUUCCUGCCGUAGUGGUCUCGGUUUUCCAGCACCCCGGGGAACCCAUCGAUCAGAGCCCUCUUAAUGCCGGGAUCAUCUGCCUUGAAGUUUUUGAACAUGUCCAGGUUUAGCUGGCGGUACUGGAAAUACUGAGCCAGGAGUCUAAAGGCAUCCGCUUGGUGAAACUUCCUGGCUCGGAGAAAUCUCAGGAUGAAGGCAUCAUCUAUCCAUGUAACCGUGACCCUUCUUCUGGAUGUGAUUGCACAGACAAUGGCAGCAGUAGGAAUCACAGCUAAGAAAACUGCCUGGCAAAAGUAAAACACAGCAGCAUGCUUAAGGGUGAGGGUGGUCCAUGCAUCAGCAGUGGCAGCAGAACCCAGGAGCUUGUUAGUGACACAGCAAGUCAGGACUUACUUAGACCUACUGAACAGAAACCCCAAUUCCCACCAACUUCAGAUCUCCAUUCCUACAAACUUCACCUCUGCUGGUAUGUGGACAUCAGAGAAGGGGGAACUGGAAACUGAAUUCUGACCACCAUUCUGUGUUCUAAAUGUCUUCCUGAGGGGCCUGGAGGAAGUUACACUCAUAAGCCAGAGCUAACAUUCUUUUCUGCUGACCCCAAAUUUUAAAAUAAAGCUUCUCUUCCUUAACCAAUUGCAAUUCAGAAAA